CAACGCCGCGUGAGUGAAGAAGGUUUUCGGAUCGUAAAGCUCUGUUGUAAGAGAAGAACGAGUGUGAGAGUGGAAAGUUCACACUGUGACGGUAACUUACCAGAAAGGGACGGCUAACUACGUGCCAGCAGCCGCGGUAAUACGUAGGUCCCGAGCGUUAUCCGGAUUUAUUGGGCGUAAAGCGAGCGCAGGCGGUUAGAUAAGUCUGAAGUUAAAGGCUGUGGCUUAACCAUAGUACGCUUUGGAAACUGUUUAACUUGAGUGCAGAAGGGGAGAGUGGAAUUCCAUGUGUAGCGGUGAAAUGCGUAGAUAUAUGGAGGAACACCGGUGGCGAAAGCGGCUCUCUGGUCUGUAACUGACGCUGAGGCUCGAAAGCGUGGGGAGCAAACAGGAUUAGAUACCCUGGUAGUCCACGCCGUAAACGAUGAGUGCUAGGUGUUGGGUCCUUUCCGGGACUCAGUGCCGCAGCUAACGCAUUAAGCACUCCGCCUGGGGAGUACGACCGCAAGGUUGAAACUCAAAGGAAUUGACGGGGGCCCGCACAAG
Molecule: ribosomal RNA, 546 nt
Filed under: uncultured bacterium
Lineage: Bacteria
Description: bacterial SSU rRNA
Rfam family: Bacterial small subunit ribosomal RNA
Source: RNAcentral